This 26-nucleotide non-coding RNA is filed under the name Rattus norvegicus (Norway rat). Lineage: Eukaryota; Metazoa; Chordata; Mammalia; Rodentia; Muridae. The record is from RNAcentral.
UGCACGUUUGUCCCUGCCCCUGACCA